Molecule: ribosomal RNA, 318 nt
Filed under: Triticum aestivum (bread wheat)
Lineage: Eukaryota; Viridiplantae; Streptophyta; Magnoliopsida; Poales; Poaceae
Description: partial small subunit ribosomal RNA
Source: RNAcentral
AUGCUUGCACUUUCCAUAUGGAGCUAGGAGCGUUUGCCGGUUGGACGAUCGAAGACCGUGAAGUACGAGGAUUGGGACGACAAAGACGACCCACUAUGGGUCCCCACUUGGGCUUACAAGUGGGAUGCGUUAAAUGAGACGACGGAUGAUCCCUCGGUCAUGUACAAGUUGUACAAGAGCAAGCUGGACAUGAUCACGGCUGAGCAGGUGACUCGACAUUGCAUAAGUGAUUCUCAUGCUUCUAUCGUAACUCGAAAUCAAUUUUGCAUUCUAUGCUGUUUUACAGGUGGAAUGGGAGCUGUAUGGAAGAGGGGAUAG